This 254-nucleotide ribosomal RNA is filed under the name uncultured bacterium. RNAcentral's name for it is "partial 16S ribosomal RNA". It matches the Rfam family "Bacterial small subunit ribosomal RNA", at positions 524 to 776 of the family's 1533-position model. The record is from RNAcentral.
UACAGAGACUGCAAGCGUUAUUCGGAUUCACUGGGCGUAAAGGGUGCGCAGGCGGCCAAGUGUGUGAGGCGUGAAAGCCCGGGGCUUAACCCCGGAAUUGCACCUCAAACUACAUGGCUAGAGCAUUGGAGAGGGUAGCAGAAUUCAUGGUGUAGCAGUGAAAUGCGUAGAUAUCGGGAGGAACACCAGUGGCGAAGGCGACUACCUGGCCUGUUUCUUGACGCUGAGGCGCGAAAGCUAGGGGAGCAAACGGG